RNAcentral lists this small RNA (313 nucleotides) under Histoplasma capsulatum var. duboisii H88. RNAcentral describes it as "Histoplasma capsulatum H88 hypothetical RNA". The record is from RNAcentral. Lineage: Eukaryota; Fungi; Ascomycota; Eurotiomycetes; Onygenales; Ajellomycetaceae.
UUCGUCUGUUGUUUGUUGUCCCCUGGGCCCCUGCACCCACGGCCUCUUCUGGAUUUCUCCUCCGGAUCCAAAGGGCUUGUUUAGGUGCAGUAUUCUACCUACUUUUUAAAUCUCGUGCCUUAAACGAUCUACCUGUUGUUUUUCUCGCUUUGUGUUCGCUAACAUGGAUAUCUUGGAGAAGCUCAGUAUUCUCGCCGCAAAACCUGGUCUCAACGGGACGAUUUCUACCCCAACUAAUCAACAAACCAAACUUGGGGAUAUGCAAACCCAAACUCAACAGCAGCAUCAUUCUGGUGAAGCUGGCCCUGCCCAC